Bos taurus (domestic cattle) is the source of this 56-nucleotide non-coding RNA. Lineage: Eukaryota; Metazoa; Chordata; Mammalia; Artiodactyla; Bovidae. The record is from Rfam.
UGGCUCAGUGGUAAAGAAUCUGCCUGCAAUGCAGGAGACCCAGGUUUGAUCCCUGG